AUUAGAAUCUCCCCAUUAAAAAAAUAAAGAGAUCGAGAACUAAACAACUAUCUUAAUUGUGAAGCAAAACUCCAAACCAUGCAUGGUCAAGAUAUUUAUAUAAAAAGAUGCAUCAAAAGCCCUUCUCACUUCCCAUAUCCCACUUCAUCAAAACCAUGAUCGAGGCCAAGAAAAGAUUAAGCAAAUUAAAGGGAUUUUCAUAAUUUCUGUAUCAUCAAGAAUCUUGGAUCCUGGCGGCGCCGGCGCAUAAUAGGUGCACCUCUCUAGUGUGCUCAUGUUAUGUGGCGUCAAGAAACUCCGAUAGCAGAGAAGAGGAGAACGGUGGGGUUGGAACCAGUAUCGACAUUGAUAGUCGAAAACGGGCUUAUAUUAAUGUCGUCGGAGAAGAAAGAAGAAGAAGAAGUAGCAGUAGAGACAGAGGUUUCAUGGAUUCAUCAAAAGGGGUUGAAUUUGAAGCUUAUCCUCUCAAGAGUAAUCUCAAGAAAUCUGCAUCAAUGGUGGAGAGUUUGAGGAAAGUUAGUUGGUCUGAUGCACAUGGCAAAGACAUUGCUCAUGUUCAAGAAUUUGAACCAAGCGAAGAAGGAGAGCUAGCAGGAGUAGGGAAAUCAUGUAAAUGUUCCAUUCAGUGAUGAAGUUUGGUUCACAAAUCACAAGUGCAAAGAUGAGGUGUUGAAGACACUCAUUAAGAGGUUUUUGGUUCGAUUAUCACUUAAGCUUAGGUUGUAGAUCCAUUUUAUGUCUAAUUUGUACUAAUUUGUAAUUUAUUAUUGAACGAAUUAUUUAAAAUUCUUUGUAGUGUGUAUUAUGCAUAAAUUAGACUAGUUUGCUCCAAAUAUUACAUUGAUCAAAUGAAGAACUUUCAGACAUUUCACCAUUA
Molecule: long non-coding RNA, 877 nt
Organism: Salvia miltiorrhiza (redroot sage)
Lineage: Eukaryota; Viridiplantae; Streptophyta; Magnoliopsida; Lamiales; Lamiaceae
Exons: 3
Source: RefSeq, a predicted model, not a curated record